This 256-nucleotide ribosomal RNA is filed under the name uncultured bacterium. Its description in RNAcentral is "partial 16S ribosomal RNA". It matches the Rfam family "Bacterial small subunit ribosomal RNA", at positions 793 to 1055 of the family's 1533-position model. The record is from RNAcentral.
GUCCAUGCCGUAACGAUGUCUACUAGCCGUUGGGCCUUUGAGGCUUUAGUGGCGCAGCUAACGCGAUAAGUAGACCGCCUGGGAGUACGGUCGCAAGACUAACUCAAUGAAUUGACGGGACCCGCACAAGCGGUGGAUGAUGUGGUUAAUUCGAUGCAACGCGAAACCUUAACCCACCUUUGACAUGUACGGAAGAUCGCAGAGACGCGAUUGUGCUCGAAAGAGAGCCGUAACACAGGUGCUGCAUGGCUGUCGU